RNAcentral lists this ribosomal RNA (490 nucleotides) under uncultured bacterium. Its description in RNAcentral is "partial 16S ribosomal RNA". It matches the Rfam family "Bacterial small subunit ribosomal RNA", at positions 30 to 507 of the family's 1533-position model. The record is from RNAcentral.
AUUGAACGCUGGCGGCAGGCCUAACACAUGCAAGUCGAACGGUAACAGGAAGCAGCUUGCUGCUUUGCUGACGAGUGGCGGACGGGUGAGUAAUGUCUGGGAAACUGCCCGAUGGAGGGGGAUAACUACUGGAAACGGUAGCUAAUACCGCAUAACGUCGCAAGACCAAAGAGGGGGACCUUAGGGCCUCUUGCCAUCGGAUGUGCCCAGAUGGGAUUAGCUAGUAGGUGGGGUAACGGCUCACCUAGGUGACGAUCCCUAGCUGGUCUGAGAGGAUGACCAGCCACACUGGAACUGAGACACGGUCCAGACUCCUACGGGAGGCAGCAGUGGGGAAUAUUGCACAAUGGGCGCAAGCCUGAUGCAGCCAUGCCGCGUGUAUGAAGAAGGCCUUCGGGUUGUAAAGUACUUUCAGCGGGGAGGAAGGGAGUAAAGUUAAUACCUUUGCUCAUUGACGUUACCCGCAGAAGAAGCACCGGCUAACUCCGUG